This 811-nucleotide non-coding RNA is filed under the name Phytophthora infestans T30-4. RNAcentral's name for it is "Eukaryotic large subunit ribosomal RNA". It matches the Rfam family "Eukaryotic large subunit ribosomal RNA", at positions 24 to 664 of the family's 3401-position model. Lineage: Eukaryota; Oomycota; Peronosporomycetes; Peronosporales; Peronosporaceae. The record is from Rfam by way of RNAcentral.
ACCGCUGAACUAAGACAUAUUAAUAAGCGGAGAAAGAAACUAACAGAUUUCCCUGAGUAACGGCGAGUGAAAGCGGGAAGAGCUCAAGCUUAAAAUCUCCGUGCAAGUUUUGCGCGGGGAAUUGUAGUCUAUAGAGGCGUGAUCAGUGUGGGCGCUUGGGGCAAGUUCCCUUGGAAGAGGACAGCAUGGAGGGUGAUACUCCCGUUCAUCCCUGAGUUGCUCGUGCGUACGAUCCGUUUUCUUUGAGUCGCGUUGUUUGGGAAUGCAGCGCAAAGUAGGUGGUAAAUUCCAUCUAAAGCUAAAUAUUGGUGCGAGACCGAUAGCGAACAAGUACCGUGAGGGAAAGAUGAAAAGAACUUUGAAAAGAGAGUUAAAGAGUACCUGAAACUGCUGAAAGGGAACCGAAUCGUUUCCAGUGUCUAUAAUCCGUGGUAUAUUUCAUUGGCGAGUGUGUGCGUGCGUGUGCUGUGGCAGCGGCUUUUUUGGCUGCGCUCGGCGUGUGUGCUGUGUGUGCUUGCUGGUGCCCUGUGCUGCGGUGGGACGUCAAGGUCAGUUCGUAUGCUGCGGGAAAUGGCCGCCGAGGAGGUAGGGCUUACGCUUGCGUUUGUCUGUUAUAUCUUGGUGGACGAGUAGUCGCGGUUGGGACUGAGGUGCCUACAACGUGUUUUUGAGUGGGCCUGUGUCUCUGUGUGCGCCGUGUGCGGAUAGCUUGCUAUGCGUGUGUGGUUGUGUGUGGAUUGAUGUGGGUUUUAACUUGUUGCCGUUCGGGACGUUGACGAAAUGGAGCGAUUUGACCCGUCUUGAAACACGG